RNAcentral lists this ribosomal RNA (253 nucleotides) under uncultured microorganism. RNAcentral describes it as "partial 16S ribosomal RNA". It matches the Rfam family "Bacterial small subunit ribosomal RNA", at positions 524 to 776 of the family's 1533-position model. The record is from RNAcentral.
UACGUAGGGUGCGAGCGUUAAUCGGAUUUACUGGGCGUAAAGCGUGCGCAGGCGGCCCGUUAAGACAGGUGUGAAAUCCCUGGGCUCAACCUAGGAAUUGCGCUUGUGACUGGCGGGCUCGAGUACGGUAGAGGGGGGUGGAAUUCCUGGAGUAGCAGUGAAAUGCGUAGAGAUCAGGAGGAACACCGAUGGCGAAGGCAGCCCCCUGGGCCUGUACUGACGCUCAUGCACGAAAGCGUGGGGAGCAAACAGG